Molecule: ribosomal RNA, 321 nt
Filed under: uncultured Glissomonadida
Lineage: Eukaryota; Cercozoa; Glissomonadida
Description: SSU rRNA
Rfam family: Eukaryotic small subunit ribosomal RNA (bases 54-321)
Source: RNAcentral
GAUUUCUGGUUUAAUAUGCUUGGCCCGCUACGAAAGUAGUGAGUGCCGAGUCGUGUUUACCAUCCUUCUAGUGCUCUCGUGUCUACUCUUCACUGAGCCGGACCGAGUGUCUAGAUCUUUUACUUUGAAAAAAUUAGAGUGUUUAAAGCAGGCUUUUGCUAUGAAUACAUUAGCAUGGAAUAAUAAUUUAGGACUUCGGUUCUAUUUUGUUGGUUUCUAGGACUGAAGUAAUGAUUGAUAGGGAUAGUUGGGGGUGCUAGUAUUCAGUGGCCAGAGGUGAAAUUCUCGGAUUCACUGAAGACUAACUUAUGCGAAAGCAUU